GCCAGUGUGGUGUAAUGGUGUGAAUGUUGGAUUAUGGAUCUGAAGAUCAGGGUUCGAUUCCCUUCUCAGAUA
Molecule: non-coding RNA, 72 nt
Organism: Phrynosoma platyrhinos (Desert horned lizard)
Lineage: Eukaryota; Metazoa; Chordata; Lepidosauria; Squamata; Phrynosomatidae
Source: the annotation of a GenBank genome assembly